Molecule: small RNA, 148 nt
Filed under: Pongo abelii (Sumatran orangutan)
Lineage: Eukaryota; Metazoa; Chordata; Mammalia; Primates; Hominidae
Description: Metazoan signal recognition particle RNA (ENSPPYG00000036481.1)
Source: Rfam by way of RNAcentral
GCUGGGCAUGGUGGUGAGUGCCUGUAGUCCCAGCUACUUGGGAGGCUGAGGCAGGAGAAACGCUUGAACCCGGGAGUUGGAGGUUGCAGUGAGUUGAGAUCUCACCACUGCACUCCAGCCUGGGUGACACAGCGAGACUCUGUCUCAA